Molecule: long non-coding RNA, 406 nt
Organism: Saccostrea cuccullata (small rock oyster)
Lineage: Eukaryota; Metazoa; Mollusca; Bivalvia; Ostreida; Ostreidae
Exons: 3
Source: RefSeq, a predicted model, not a curated record
UCUUGAUUAUCUGAUUUGAUUAUUGGCACUGUUCUGUACUUUCAGCUAUCUGUGCAUCUUGUCGUGCUAAGCUAUUUAAGGAAGGCAAUAUAGAAGAUGGUGUACAGACUUGUGAGACAGCAAUGGAACAGAGUAUGGAAUGUAGUGGAUUGCUUCUGAGACCAAGAAUUCAAAUACAAAACGAUGAAAAUGAAAAUAUGGAAUCCAGUCAAGAGACAUCAAUGGAUACAUGUAGCCAAGAAAGCCAAGUCUCAGAAUCAUCUAUCUCUGGUAUUGAUCGCCUAUCAAAGCUGAACGAGUUCCUAGCAGCGUGCAACAAGAGCCCAGUUAAAACACUUCGUGAGUCAUUUGUCAGUUCAAGUCAGCGAACAAGAAGAAGAUAUGCUGCCAAAGCAAAUGAAUGCCU